CCUGUGGAUCGUUAUAUAAACGAAAGUAGUUUUUUAAACGAAAUCGGACGGGAUGAAGCAGGAA
Molecule: non-coding RNA, 64 nt
Submitted as: unclassified sequences
Source: Rfam